AAAGGAAUAGACGGGGACCCGCACAAGCAGCGGAGCAUGUGGUUUAAUUCGAAGCAACGCGAAGAACCUUACCAAGGCUUGACAUCCCCUUGACAGGUGCAGAGAUGUGCCCUUCUCUUCGGAGACAAGGGUGACAGGUGGUGCAUGGUUGUCGUCAGCUCGUGUCGUGAGAUGUUGGGUUAAGUCCCGCAACGAGCGCAACCCUUAUCCUUAGUUGCCAGCAGGUAGUGCUGGGCACUCUAAGGAGACUGCCGAUGAUAAAUCGGAGGAAGGUGGGGAUGACGUCAAAUCAUCAUGCCCCUUAUGUCUUGGGCUACACACGUGCUACAAUGGUCGGUACAACGGGGAGCUAAAGAGCGAUCUGGAGCAAAUCCCAAUAAACCGAUCCCAGUUCGGAUUGUAGGCUGCAACUCGCCUACAUGAAGUCGGAGUUGCUAGUAAUCGCGAAUCAGAACGUCGCGGUGAAUGCGUUCCCGGGUCUUGUACACACCGCCCGU
RNAcentral lists this ribosomal RNA (497 nucleotides) under uncultured bacterium. RNAcentral's name for it is "bacterial SSU rRNA". It matches the Rfam family "Bacterial small subunit ribosomal RNA", at positions 903 to 1397 of the family's 1533-position model. The record is from RNAcentral.